GGGACACACAGACCCCGGGAGGGGACACACAGAUCCCGGGAGGGGACACCCUCAGCGGAGAGCGGCCCAGGGCUGGGCUCGCCCUCCCCUCUCCUCAGUGGCACUGAAGCUUCUGGCAGGGAAAAAUCCUCAUUUUCCCGACUCCAGACACGUGAAAACACCGCAGCACACACAGAGCCCCCGGAGCAUCCCCCAAAUCCCGGCGCGAGCCUCCGGGACCCAUCCGGGCUGCCCGGACCCCCCCGGGACCCUCGAGCCGGUACCACAACACACCUGAAUUAACAGCGGCGAGCAGGUGACGCCAAAAUCGCUGCAAUUCCUCUCUCCGAAUCCUUAAUCUGCUUUUCCCCGGCUGACAUCAGCGCUCAGCUCACCAGCUACCUCCACAAGAAGAGAACCACAGCAAGCCACAGCCACCCUUCAGCCACGAGAAUUAAAUCCAUAAAUCCCCACAUUUUCAGCUCGGGGUUGCUUUGGGAUGCUCCGGGCUGGAAUUCCCGGGGAUGCUGCCCAGCGAUUCUUCUGGGAGUUGCUGGGGGGAAAUCCUGCAAAGCAACUUCAGGAGGCUCUGGAGCCCAUCGGAGGCAGCGGGGAGGGCUCGGCCGGCGGAGCAGAGACGGAACAAAAGCCCGAGCGAUGCUGAAUUAGGUGCCUUUCCUAAUUGUAAAGGAGGAUUGUGAGGCUGUGUGUGGCUGCGGGGCGGGAGGGGGCGGGUGAAGGGGCGAUGGGGAGAGGCCUCCAUCCCUCCCUCCCACCCGGCUGGGCCCGCAACCCCGAGCCGAGCUGCUGCAUAAAUUAUCUCCUGCUUAAAUUAUCUCCUCUUCUCCAUCCCUGCCUCCCGAGCCGCGCAUCCCCCGGGCUCCCCCGCUCCGCGCACGGAGGAUGCGGUACCCAGGGCAGGGUCCCCGCUGCCCCCCGCCCCGGGCAGCCUCUCCCAGCGGCUCUUCCCGGCCUUUCCAGCCUCUCCCAGUUCUUCCCGGCUCGCCUCUCUCCUGCUUCCCCCGUUCCUGCUUUGUCUCCGGCCCCGAGCAGACACAAAAGAGCCUCUGACCUGGGAGGAGAAAUCUCCUUUUCCAGGGAAAGAAUCAAAAAGCCCAUCCGAGGUCUCCGGUGCGCGCUCUGAGCAGGCAGGGGAUUAAAACUGCCUGGGAAAAGGAGGCAGCAUUGCUCCCCUAAUGAGUGUAAUUAGCGGGGUGAGGAUGGAAGCGGCUUUCCCUGCGGCUUUCCCUGGCUGCCCGCGCUCUUCCAUUGGGGUUUUUUUGGGGAAAAACAGCGUUUUGUCACUUCCAGGAGCCGCUGGGGCAGGAGCUGGCCCUGGGUGCAGCUCUCUGUGCCUGGAUCACCUCGGUCUCCAAGCAGGGAGGUUCAGACAGGAUUAAAUCCCAAACACCCAUCCCGAGUUCUCCGGGGUUUGGCAAAGCCAAGUCGGGUUUGGGACCCUUUUUUUGUUGUUGUUUUUUUUUUUUGUUGUUCCUUUCCGCGGCUCGUUGCUAUCACUCCACCUCAGCUCUCCCAAAUCCAGGGGGACAGGGCCCUGGAGGGGGACAAGGACCCUCCGUGCUCUCUGCCCUCUGAAUGACUCCAAAAAUCCAAAUUUUAGCCGCAGAUUUCGGCUGCGAGGAUGUGGGGGAGGCGUGGGAUGGGCUGAGGAUGGAGCAGCGUCCAUCCUGCGCAUCCUUCCCCUAAAUGAGGGUGGGACAAGCGAUGUUGGGGCAGUUCAUUAACUGCUGGGCCUAAUGAGCUGCUCCAAGGAGCCUGGGAUGAGGGGACAAUGCUGGAUCUGGGAUUGCCGGGGCAGGAGGUCCAGGAAGGGCUGAUCCAUCUCCCAGCAUCUUCUCCUCUCCGACAUUGUGCUCACUUGUUGUUUUUUUUUUUUUAUUUUAUUAUUUUUAUUUAAUUGUCUUGCUGUCCCUCAUUUGCAUAAUCCCCCAUAAUGCAGCGCAGCAGGACUUUUGCUCUGAGCUAAUAAAUAGACGACAAAAAUAAACGUGUCAUGUAAGAUUUGCUUCCAUUCCUUGCCUUUGUGAGGGAGCUUUCACCGAGGGAUGACGCUGCCGGCCUUGAUCUCACAGGAGCACGAGCAGCGAUUUCCCCGAGCCCCUGGUGCUCAACUUUGCCAGAUGUUUCCAGCUGAA
Molecule: long non-coding RNA, 2135 nt
Organism: Parus major (Great Tit)
Lineage: Eukaryota; Metazoa; Chordata; Aves; Passeriformes; Paridae
Exons: 3
Source: RefSeq, a predicted model, not a curated record